Molecule: ribosomal RNA, 508 nt
Filed under: uncultured Glomus
Lineage: Eukaryota; Fungi; Glomeromycota; Glomeromycetes; Glomerales; Glomeraceae
Description: SSU rRNA
Rfam family: Eukaryotic small subunit ribosomal RNA
Source: RNAcentral
AGCAGCCGCGGUAAUUCCAGCUCCAAUAGCGUAUAUUAAAGUUGUUGCAGUUAAAAAGCUCGUAGUUGAAUUUCGGGGUUAGUAGGCUGGUCGUGCCACAGGUAUGCACUGGUCUCACUGAUUCCUCCUUCCUGAUGAACCGUAAUGCCAUUAAUUUGGUGUUGCGGGGAGACUGGACUGUUACUUUGAAAAAAUUAGAGUGUUUAAAGCAGGCUAACGCUUGAAUACAUUAGCAUGGAAUAAUGAAAUAGAACGUUCGGUCUUAUUUUGUUGGUUUCUAAGAUUGACGUAAUGAUUAAUAGGGAUAGUUGGGGGCAUUAGUAUUCAAUUGUCAGAGGUGAAAUUCUUGGAUUUAUUGAAGACUAACUACUGCGAAAGCAUUUGCCAAGGAUGUUUUCAUUAAUCAAGAACGAAAGUUAGGGGAUCGAAGACGAUCAGAUACCGUCGUAGUCUUAACCAUAAACUAUGCCGACUAGGGAUCGGAUGAUGUUAAUUUUUUAAUGACUCA